RNAcentral lists this ribosomal RNA (402 nucleotides) under Triticum aestivum (bread wheat). RNAcentral's name for it is "partial small subunit ribosomal RNA". The record is from RNAcentral. Lineage: Eukaryota; Viridiplantae; Streptophyta; Magnoliopsida; Poales; Poaceae.
AUGUCGGCCCUGCACCUCGACACCAAUGCCAUGCUUUUCGGCGGCCAGCGAAAACGUGUGGGAAGAAAAAACAGUAAGAAGACUAUGCAAUCCCUUACCACUAAAUCGAAGUACCUAUCCGAGGCUUCAAGUUUACCGCAUCCUCCACGGCACCCCCUGGCUGCCAACACCAUGUCAUGUGUUCCCGCACCAAGUUCCGGUAGCUCUCUGUCACCUCGCAGUAGCAGCCAUGAGUUCCUGGGAAAGGCUCGCACGAGAGCAGCUCAGUCAUUCCCAAAGAACGGGCUAAGAUGCAGAAAUACACCUCGCUCCAAUAGAAAAGAAUCACCAGGUCCAGCCUCACCAAUGUAUACUCGUCGGAGUUCUUCCUGUCAGGAGUUCACCAGCUGUGUUGACUCCUGA